This 253-nucleotide ribosomal RNA is filed under the name uncultured bacterium. Its description in RNAcentral is "partial 16S ribosomal RNA". It matches the Rfam family "Bacterial small subunit ribosomal RNA", at positions 524 to 776 of the family's 1533-position model. The record is from RNAcentral.
GACAGAGGGUGCAAACGUUGUUCGGAAUUACUGGGCGUAAAGCGCGUGUAGGCGGCCCUGCAAGUCGGAUGUGAAAUCCCACGGCUCAACCAUGGAAGUGCAUUCGAAACUGCAGGGCUAGAGUCCUGGAGAGGAAGGUGGAAUGCUUGGUGUAGAGGUGAAAUUCGUAGAUAUCAAGCGGAACACCGGUGGCGAAGGCGGCCUUCUGGACAGUGACUGACGCUGAGACGCGAAAGCGUGGGGAGCAAACAGG